CCAAUAGCGUAUAUUAAAGUUGUUGCAGUUAAAAAGCUCGUAGUUGAAUUUCGGGGUCAGCAAGUUGGUCGUGCCACCGGUAUGCACUGGCUUUACUGAUUCCUCCUUCUUGAAGAACCUUAAUGCCAUUAACUUGGUGUUGUGGGGAAACAGGACUGUUACUUUGAAAAAAUUAGAGUGUUUAAAGCAAGCUAACGCUUGAAUACAUUAGCAUGGAAUAAUGAAAUAGGACGAUCGAUCCUAUUUUGUUGGUUUCUAGGAUUGACGUAAUGAUUAAUAGGGAUAGUUGGGGGCAUUAGUAUUCAAUUGUCAGGGGUGAAAUUCUUGGAUUUAUUGAAGACUAACUACUGCGAAAGCAUUUGCCAAGGAUGUUUUCAUUAAUCAAGAACGAAAGUUAGGGGAUCGAAGACGAUCAGAUACCGUCGUAGUCUUAACCAUAAACUAUGCCGACUAGGGAUCGGAUGAUGUUAAUUUUUUAAUGACUCAUUCGGCGCCUUACG
RNAcentral lists this ribosomal RNA (500 nucleotides) under uncultured Glomeromycotina. RNAcentral's name for it is "partial small subunit ribosomal RNA". It matches the Rfam family "Eukaryotic small subunit ribosomal RNA", at positions 591 to 1092 of the family's 1831-position model. Lineage: Eukaryota; Fungi; Glomeromycota. The record is from RNAcentral.